RNAcentral lists this ribosomal RNA (1183 nucleotides) under uncultured bacterium. Its description in RNAcentral is "bacterial SSU rRNA". It matches the Rfam family "Bacterial small subunit ribosomal RNA", at positions 213 to 1398 of the family's 1533-position model. The record is from RNAcentral.
UAUCACUGAAGGAGGGGAUUGCGUCUGAUUAGCUCGACGGCGGGGUAACGGCCCACCGUGGCGACGAUCGGUAGGGGUUCUGAGAGGAAGGUCCCCCACACUGGAACUGAGACACGGUCCAGACUCCUACGGGAGGCAGCAGUGAGGAAUAUUGGUCAAUGGGCGGAAGCCUGAACCAGCCAAGUAGCGUGCAGGAUGACGGCCCUAUGGGUUGUAAACUGCUUUUAUGCGGGGAUAAAGGGGCUCACGUGUGGGUUUUUGCAGGUACCGCAUGAAUAAGGACCGGCUAAUUCCGUGCCAGCAGCCGCGGUAAUACGGAAGGUCCGGGCGUUAUCCGGAUUUAUUGGGUUUAAAGGGAGCGUAGGCCACCUCUUAAGCGUGUUGUGAAAUGCGGGUGCUCAACAUCCGACUUGCAGCGCGAACUGGGGGGCUUGAGUGCGCCGAAAGUAGGCGGAAUUCGUGGUGUAGCGGUGAAAUGCUUAGAUAUCACGAAGAACUCCGAUUGCGAAGGCAGCUUACUGUAGCGCAACUGACGCUGAUGCUCGAAAGCGUGGGUAUCGAACAGGAUUAGAUACCCUGGUAGUCCACGCGGUAAACGAUGGAUGCUCGUUGUCGGCCAUUGUGGUCGGUGACCAAGCGAAAGCGUUAAGCAUCCCACCUGGGGAGUACGCCGGCAACGGUGAAACUCAAAGGAAUUGACGGGGGCCCGCACAAGCGGAGGAACAUGUGGUUUAAUUCGAUGAUACGCGAGGAACCUUACCCGGGCUUGAACUGCGGCGGAACGAUUCCGAGAGGAUGAGGCCCUUCGGGGCUGCCGCGGAGGUGCUGCAUGGUUGUCGUCAGCUCGUGCCGUGAGGUGUCGGCUUAAGUGCCAUAACGAGCGCAACCCCCGUCUUCAGUUGCCAUCGGGUUAUGCCGGGCACUCUGGAGAUACUGCCACCGCAAGGUGUGAGGAAGGUGGGGAUGACGUCAAAUCAGCACGGCCCUUACGUCCGGGGCUACACACGUGUUACAAUGGCGCAUACAGAGAGUAGGUGGCAUGCGAAUGCCAUCCAAUCCUUAAAGUGCGUCUCAGUUCGGACUGGGGUCUGCAACCCGACCCCACGAAGCUGGAUUCGCUAGUAAUCGCGCAUCAGCCAUGGCGCGGUGAAUACGUUCCCGGGCCUUGUACACACCGCCCGUC